GGUUCCAUAGUGUAGCAGUUAGCAUGUCUGCUUUACACGCAGAAGGCCCUGGGUUCGCGUCCCACUGGAGCCA
This 73-nucleotide transfer RNA is filed under the name Pteropus alecto (black flying fox). It matches the Rfam family "tRNA". From Rfam's summary of the family: Transfer RNA (tRNA) molecules are approximately 80 nucleotides in length. Their secondary structure includes four short double-helical elements and three loops (D, anti-codon, and T loops). RNAcentral also lists the same sequence under 1 other name. Lineage: Eukaryota; Metazoa; Chordata; Mammalia; Chiroptera; Pteropodidae. The record is from Rfam by way of RNAcentral.